CCCUACAGCUGUGCCACCCUGAACGUGCCCGAUCUUGUCUGAUCUUGGAAGCUAAGCAGGAGAGGACCUGGUUAGUACUUGGAUGGGAGACCACAGAGGAAUACCAGGUGCUGUAGGCG
This 119-nucleotide ribosomal RNA is filed under the name Pteropus alecto (black flying fox). Lineage: Eukaryota; Metazoa; Chordata; Mammalia; Chiroptera; Pteropodidae. The record is from RNAcentral.